UUAUGGUUUGAUUAGUUUAUUAAAAAUUUAUUUUACAUAUAAAUUUUAGUGUUAAYUUUUAUUUAUUUUAAUAAUAAAUUUUUAUUUUAUAAUAGUAAUUAAUAUUAAACAAUUUAAGAAAUUAUGAUUUAGUAAUAUUUAAAUUAGUAACAAAUUUUGUGCCAGCAGUUGCGGUUAUACAAAAAUUAAAUUAAAUUUUAUUAGUGAUUAAUUAAUAUAUUUUGAUUUAUAAUUUAAAUUUUAAAUUAUUAAGUGAAAUUUUAAUUUAAUUAAUUUUUAUAUAAAGAAUAUGAUUUAAUAAAUUUUUAUAAUAAACUAGGAUUAGAUACCCUAUUAUUAAUUUUUAAAUUUUUAUACUAAAAUAGUAAAUAAUUAUUUAUUGAAACUUAAAUAAUUUGGCGGUAUUUUAGUUCAUUUAGAGGAAUCUGUUUAAUAAUUGAUAAUCCACGAAUAAACUUACUUAAUUUUCAAUUUUAUAUAUCGUUGUUAAAAAAAUAUUUUUUAAUAAUAUAAUAAUAUUUUAAUUUUUAAAUUUAAAAUUAAAUCAGAUCAAGAUAUAGAUUAUAAUUAAGAAUAUAAUGGAUUACAAUAAAUUUAUUUAAAAUGAAUAUUAAUUUGUAAAAAUUAAUUGAAGGUGGAUUUAAAUGUAAUUUUAUUUAAUUUAAUAAAAUGAUUAUUAAUUAAAAUAUGUACAUAUUGCCCGUCGCUUUCAUAUAUAAAAGUUGAAAUAAGUCGUAACAAAGUAGAGGUACUGGAAAGUGUUUCUAGAAAGAA
This 774-nucleotide non-coding RNA is filed under the name Risoba obstructa. The record is from RNAcentral. Lineage: Eukaryota; Metazoa; Arthropoda; Insecta; Lepidoptera; Nolidae.